AGAAAAUAUUAAUUCUGCUGUCUUGAGCAUUUCUCUAAUGUUUGUGAGUAUCACAGGACAUACAAAAAUGGGAAUGCUCUACAUUCUCUUGCCUUGUAUUAGUCAAGCCAUCCUCAGCCUGGAGAUCAAAACUGAGGUUAUCCCAUGGUCAUGCUUUCAUUUGUGGCUGCUGGAAGAAAAUAAAGAUGAAAUAAGAAGUGAAAAUAAUAUUGGAACAUAGCUGGUGUCCUCCAGUCUGUAGUUCCAGCUGGGUCUCCUUCAGCCAAAUCUGCUGGGACCUUGAGGAGUGAACUGAAAAAUGCUCUCUCCAUUCCUAUCCAUCUCAACUGGAAAUGCUUAAAACCUGUUUUAUUCAGCAAAACUUGCUCUCUCUUUCACCCCUAGGAGGAGCAUGUUUUCUAAGGAUGGGUCUUUGAUGAUAUAACUUAUCUCCUGGGUUUGGAGAGACUUUUACUUUAUUUACAUAGCUUUCCUCGAAAGCAGAAACACAUCCAGGGCUAGGUAGGUGCCUUUCUAAGUGAGUUCUGCAGAGGUAGAUAUUUGGUACAACUGGUCCUGGCUGGGUUUUUUUCUCCCUCAAUCUUCUUUCCUUCUCCUUUACACACUUCUAAAAUGUCCUCUACUUCACAGGUACUAAAUAACUUUAACUUUACUCAGCAAAGUCCCAGCUUGUAUCUCUCAGCUUUGUCUUGGCUCCUUCGACUCACAUUUACCUCUGAAUCUGUUGUGUUUAUUAAAGACCAGAACCAACCUGCCUGAUUUUCUGAACUGCGCCUGUUGGCUUUAUAAACAUUUUACUUCUAUCUUCGAAUGUGUUGAAGCAGUGAAUUUAUCCAGCAGAAUUUGUGUCUGAUUCAUGUACUCUUCUUCUUCAGGAAGAUAACAUCAAGGUUAAAGACACAUCUUUAAAACUUAAUUACAAGUAUCAGGAGGAAGACAGAGCGAUCCUGUCUUUCAUCUUGCCGAGCCAUAGGUAAGAUGUGAUAUAUGACAAAUAUUGAAGCCAGAGCCACAGUUCACAGAGGAAGAUUUAAACACUGUAGGGUGAUGUAUAUACGAAUGACUGUUUUCUAGAACCACAGGGGUGAUUUAUGAGGUCUAUGAUUUCUAAAAUAAGAAAUGAGAAUGUUUCGUGGAAAGCUGUCUUCACUCCUCUAAAUGAGUG
Molecule: long non-coding RNA, 1165 nt
Filed under: Corvus moneduloides (New Caledonian crow)
Lineage: Eukaryota; Metazoa; Chordata; Aves; Passeriformes; Corvidae
Description: lncRNA (ENSCMUG00000017598.1)
Source: RNAcentral